RNAcentral lists this ribosomal RNA (253 nucleotides) under uncultured bacterium. RNAcentral's name for it is "partial 16S ribosomal RNA". It matches the Rfam family "Bacterial small subunit ribosomal RNA", at positions 524 to 776 of the family's 1533-position model. The record is from RNAcentral.
UACAGAGGUCUCAAGCGUUGUUCGGAUUCAUUGGGCGUAAAGGGUGCGUAGGUGGCGUCGUAAGUGGGGUGUGAAAUCCCGUGGCUUAACCCCGGGACUGCAUUCCAUACUGCGGUGCUUGAGGACUGGAGAGGAGACUGGAAUUUACGGUGUAGCAGUGAAAUGCGUAGAGAUCGUAAGGAAGACCAGUGGCGAAGGCGGGUCUCUGGACAGUUACUGACGCUGAGGCACGAAGGCCAGGGGAGCAAACGGG